RNAcentral lists this transfer RNA (58 nucleotides) under Eucoleus annulatus. RNAcentral describes it as "tRNA-Cys". The record is from RNAcentral. Lineage: Eukaryota; Metazoa; Nematoda; Enoplea; Trichinellida; Capillariidae.
AAGAAAUUAGUAUACAUUAUUAUUACAUAAAAUUGCAAAUUUUAAAAUAACUUUCUUU